RNAcentral lists this long non-coding RNA (456 nucleotides) under Chrysemys picta bellii (western painted turtle). RNAcentral's name for it is "lncRNA (ENSCPBG00000022489.1)". Lineage: Eukaryota; Metazoa; Chordata; Testudines; Emydidae. The record is from RNAcentral.
AGGGGGAAAAAGAUGAUUUGUAUUUUAUUUAAAUCACUAAGAAUAAUUUUGUUACUUGAAAUGUCUUUCAGGAUUGGAGGGACUUUUUAAAGGUGUCCAUGGGAAACGUAUUAAAUGAGUGCAUGAAAAAUAAAGGUUCUAACAGAUCACCCCACGUUAAAAAAAACAGUUGAGUACCGAAGCGCUUCUAAACCUGAAGAAGGAAAGUAUCUCUUGCUUUUCAGAAUUACCAGAUGGGGCUUUUCACAUCCCUUUCAGAGCACUGAGGCUCAGUGUUUGUACAAGUCUUCACUCUUGAGGCCCUGAAUCAUGUUCACCCAAUGAAGAAGACUUCAACAGAGGACUGGACAGGACUCAUUUGGAGAAAACCAAUUCUCUCUUCUUCAAUCGGCAAGAAAGGACAAAGUUGAGUAUGGGUUGAGGGACUCAGAAGUAGUUUGGGCUCUAGCUACAGUG